Molecule: long non-coding RNA, 1465 nt
Organism: Homo sapiens (human)
Lineage: Eukaryota; Metazoa; Chordata; Mammalia; Primates; Hominidae
Exons: 3
Source: RefSeq, a predicted model, not a curated record
AACAAGACUAACAUUGGAUUUCCACAGCUCUUUCGGCAGUGGGCUGGAAAGUGCUAUUAAAACAUGGCUGUUUCAUAAUUUCCCUAUUGGAAAUGCGGUCUCACUACGUUGCCCAGGCUGGUCUUGAAUUCCUGGUCUCAAGCAGUCCUCCCACCUAAGCCUCCCAAAGUGCUGGGAUUACAGAAAAUGGUAAACAAGGGAAAGAAAGAGGAGUUCCAGACCCUGCAUACCAAAAUAUUACAGACACACAGGAAAUGACUCUUCAAAUCCAGGCUGUAAACCUGUCAUUUCGUGGGCUUGUCUGUGGGCCUAGAAAAGCGAGACAAAGAUCACACCGAAGACAUUACUGUUUGGGGCUGGCUGUACUGGAGGACCUCUGGAGGCCUUUCCAUGCCAGGUGCUAUGAUUCUAAACUCAAGUCAUAAAAUGAAAUGUUAGAGGAAAGCCAAUGAAAUUUGAGGCAGAACUUGUGGCUUAAAGCUCAUUUUGCUUUAAAAAAUGUAGACUUUGAAAAACUGUUCUUUACAAGCAACAAAAAUUUUUUAAAGAAACUGAAAAGCUAAAAAAUAUUUUUUGGGGGGAGGGAGUAAUAUUCUCAGCCCUAUUACUAUCUUUUAAGGCUUUCGAUUACAGAUACUCCAAACAUGUAAUAAGUUACUAAGUCCUUAAAAUAUGUAUUAAUCUUCCUAAAAGAUUUGCAUAUUGACUUUAAUCCACGUAAAAGAUGUUUCUGGUGUAUUUAACCAAUGCUGCUCGUCUGUUUAGUGAAAUGGUUUUGGAUCCAUUAAUUCUCCAAAUAUUUGUAUUCUGAGUGCCUUCUAAGGAUAAGACAUUCUUUGAAUCAAACACACACAAAGAACUAAGCCAAUCUAAUGGUUAAUGCAGUCAUUCCUCCCUCCUCCAGCUUAAUGUACUGGCCCCGGAGCCAGAAUGCCUGGGUUUCCCAGCUCCAGUGCCUUGAACAAAUUACAUAACCUCUCUGUACCAGUUCUCUCCCCUGAAAAGUAGGGUUAGUAAUAGCACCUACCUCAUCAAACUAAAUGACUCAAUACAUGUAAAGCAUGUAGAAAAAUGCCUGGCACAUAGCAAGCAUUCAAUAAAUGUUGGCUAUUCAUUUUGUGCCCAGUAUGAGGGAAAGCAAUGUAGAGGUGGAUAUGGAGAUAAAUAAAACAAAGUGCAUUAAAGAGGGAAUAUUUCAACUGGUUCUUGGAGAAAAUACGGAGUUCACAAGGAAGACAAAAAAGGGCCAAGUCAAGCAAAUGGUGUGAGUGAAGGCACAGAACCACGAAACUAAAUAGCAUAUCUGGGGAAUUGUAAAUGAUUCAUUAGAGCUAGAUUAAGAGGCAUGUGACAUAUGCUGCCUCCAUCCAAAAGCAAAGAUUUUAAAAAAGAGAGAGAAAAAAUAGAGGCACAUGGGAAUGAGGGAGUAGAAACCACAGGAUUUACUGACCAAACCUAUGUGAUA